ACGCUCGACACCUACGGGAGGCAGCAGUGAGGAAUAUUGGUCAAUGGGCGCUAGCCUGAACCAGCCAAGUAGCGUGAAGGAUGAAGGCUCUAUGGGUUGUAAACUUCUUUUAUAUGGGAAUAAAGUUUUCCACGUGUGGAAUUUUGUAUGUACCAUAUGAAUAAGGAUCGGCUAACUCCGUGUCAGCAGCCGCGGUAAUCUGAGCGGGCUGGCAAGGC
This 218-nucleotide ribosomal RNA is filed under the name uncultured bacterium. RNAcentral describes it as "partial 16S ribosomal RNA". It matches the Rfam family "Bacterial small subunit ribosomal RNA", at positions 328 to 539 of the family's 1533-position model. The record is from RNAcentral.